RNAcentral lists this ribosomal RNA (465 nucleotides) under Vreelandella stevensii. RNAcentral's name for it is "partial 16S ribosomal RNA". It matches the Rfam family "Bacterial small subunit ribosomal RNA", at positions 338 to 795 of the family's 1533-position model. The record is from RNAcentral. Lineage: Bacteria; Pseudomonadati; Pseudomonadota; Gammaproteobacteria; Oceanospirillales; Halomonadaceae.
CCUACGGGGGGCUGCAGUGGGGAAUAUUGGACAAUGGGCGAAAGCCUGAUCCAGCCAUGCCGCGUGUGUGAAGAAGGCCUUCGGGUUGUAAAGCACUUUCAGUGGGGAAGAAAGCCUUGGGGCUAAUAUCCUCGAGGAAGGACAUCACCCACAGAAGAAGCACCGGCUAACUCCGUGCCAGCAGCCGCGGUAAUACGGAGGGUGCGAGCGUUAAUCGGAAUUACUGGGCGUAAAGCGCGCGUAGGCGGUCUGAUAAGCCGGUUGUGAAAGCCCCGGGCUCAACCUGGGAACGGCAUCCGGAACUGUCAGGCUAGAGUGCAGGAGAGGAAGGUAGAAUUCCCGGUGUAGCGGUGAAAUGCGUAGAGAUCGGGAGGAAUACCAGUGGCGAAGGCGGCCUUCUGGACUGACACUGACGCUGAGGUGCGAAAGCGUGGGUAGCAAACAGGAUUAGAUACCCGAGUAGUC